Molecule: RNA transcript, 2111 nt
Organism: Triticum aestivum (bread wheat)
Lineage: Eukaryota; Viridiplantae; Streptophyta; Magnoliopsida; Poales; Poaceae
Exons: 7
Source: RefSeq, a predicted model, not a curated record
CUUCCCCAAUCCUUGCGCGUUCGCGGUCGCCGUCGCUGCCCGCAUCGCUUCCCCUUGCCAAUCCUCCCUCCGUUCCAUGGCGCCGCCAUGUUUCUCGAAGAAGCCGCCGUCGGGGAGCGCCGGGGACCCAGCGGAGCCUUGCGGAGGCGCCUCCUCUACUCUCUCUCCAAUCCCGCCGAUGCUCUCUUCAGCUCCUCAUCCUCUUCUCCCCCCAGAUGGAUGGAAUGCUUCUUCAUUAUCCGAAAGAAACAGCCCACCCUGCCGACCGGAUGUUAAUUCCUAUGGUGGCAAAGAAGCCAGAUAUCCGGGCCCAGACCUUCCAGAGGACAUUUGGUGUCGUAUACACUUCCUACUACCAAUGCAAGAUGCUGCCCGUGCCGCCUGUGUUUCUCGCUCCUUCCUACACUCCUGGAGAUGCCACCCCAAUCUCACCUUCACCAACGAAACGAUGUGCCCCAAAGAAGAUUUAAAAGCAGCGGGAUCGAACGCUAUUAUAAGAGACUACAACAACAAAAUUGACUGUGUUCUGAGGAACCGCUUGUGUACUGAUGCCGUGACGAAACUCAAGCUUGACUACCACGUUCCUCCUGAUGGUGCUGAAUCGUAUCAUCGUCUUGAUAGCUGGCUCCAGAUGGCUGUUACGCCCAGGACCAAAGAACUCGAGCUUCUAGUAUGGUCGAAAGAGGCGAGCUUUGAUUUCCCAUGCACACUACUAUCUGACAGGUGUGGGGGCUCGAUUCAGAAGCUUCUCCUUUUCAGAUGUGCCUUACGUCCCACAUUUCAACUUGGUUUGAGAAGCCUGAAAACUCUGCAUCUGCGCGAUGUGCGUGUUACGGGGGAGGAGUUAGGGUGCCUUCUGUCCAGUUCCACUGCUUUGGAACACCUGAAGCUCGUAUAUUGUGAUGAUAUAGUUCGCCUGGAGAUACCUUGCCUGCUGCAGAGGCUCAGCUUCCUGGAGGUGUCUGGAUGCACGAAUCUUCAAGUGAUAGAGAACAAAGCUCCAAAUCUCUCCAGAUUUUACCUUGAAGCAGGUGAACUGGUGCAAGUCUCGUUUGGAGAGUCGAAAGUGAAGGACGUGCAGUUGAGGCAGGGUUAUGCCAUCAAUUAUGCUAUUGAGAACCUUCCUUCACGUGUGCCGAAUCUUGAGACACUUAACAUACAAUCUUCUCAUGAGAUCUAUGUUUUCAAGGCGUCGCCUAGGCGUCGCCUAGGCGACGCCUAGGCGUCAGAGCGCUCGCGAACGUCAAGGCGUCGCCGUCGCUUUAGUUUUUUGUCUAAGGCGUCCGCCUUGUGCUGUUGAGGCGUCCAAGGCGUCGCCUAGGCGUCCAAGGCGCCGCUUUGCUUGAUUUUGGACGCCCUGGACAUGCGCGGGCAGGUUGAGCGGGAACCAGCAGCUGGCGCGCGCCAGAAAGAGGAAUUGGCGGGAGGGAAGAGAAAUUGGGCGGGAGAGAGGGGGUAAACAGAGGCAGGAGAGAGAGGGGAACACACCUGUGACUCCAAAUCGAGGGGAAAAGAGAGAGGAGCUCUCUCCUCUCAGUCUCUCACGCCGCCGGCCCAGAUCCGUUCCUCCUCCGCCGGCCUCCCCCUGUCCGGCCAAGCUCCUCCUCCGCAGGCCCUUCCCCUCUCCGGCCAAGAUCCAUCUCCGCCGGCCAUCCCCCUCUCCGGCCAAGCUCCUCGGCCGCCGGCAGCCCUCUCCCAAGAUUUCUAUUGUGGAAGGCAGAAAUGGGAAACAAGAUGGGAGGAAUGGAUGCUAUGUGGGCUCAACAACCAGGAAAUUCAAGGACUACGAUUUUUUGUCGUUGGUUCAUUUUUUUGAUGCUUCUCCUUCCCUCGAGACGUUUCGCUUGUAAUCGAGCAUUCCAUGGAUGACUGGUUUGAGGGAGAUCCCUCGUCUCUGAGGCGAAUGCCACAACACUGCCAUGGGAGCCUCAAGAGUGUGAAGAUCAUUGGUUUCUUCCCCCAAAAGAGCAUGGUUGAGCUAACAUGUCAUCUUCUCGAGAAUGCAAUGUCACUUGAGUCCCUUACAGUGGAUGCUAGUCCAGCUAAUUACAGGUGUUCUGGCAGUAAACCGGGCAGAAAAUGCAGUCCCCUGACAACUACAGCUAUAGUGA